Molecule: long non-coding RNA, 1254 nt
Filed under: Daucus carota (carrot)
Lineage: Eukaryota; Viridiplantae; Streptophyta; Magnoliopsida; Apiales; Apiaceae
Description: long non-coding RNA (DCAR_LNC001378)
Source: RNAcentral
AUGUUCCUUCUCUUCACCCUUCCUGGACGGCCGCCUCCGAAAGGACUAGUGAGGGAGAAAUCAAUGUGCUUCUGUGAGUCCACCCUCACCAUGAAUGAAGGUACGUUAACCACCUGCCUUCCGACCCUGAUCAUGUAAAUUUUGUCAGAACCCAAAAGCUUUUAACUAUUUCAGAUUAAACAUUAUAAUAAACAUAAACGAAGUAUAGCACGACUGAGUCAGAACCCAAAACCUUUCAUACCUACUAAUAUGCAAAGAAGCAGAAGAAAUUACAAGACCAAAGAAAUAUACAAGCAUGCAUGAACUUGCAAUCUCAUUCUUAAGCAGAUGAGUCAUACCGAACUCUAUUAGUCAAAUAUAUAUUGUUCAAACUAAAAUAAUUUAAGAGAGGAUUGUUUCUUGUUCAUAUAAGGUUAAAAAAAGUCUCUUGCAGAGACUCUACCCCUCCCCCCAUCUUAUUUAGUACAAGAUCACUUGCAUGCAAAACAGAACAGCCAUACACAAAGGAGACUAGGCAGUUCAGAUGAAUCAGUAAAGAUUAUAAAUGGCAGACAACUUUAACAUUCAAAAUCAUUUAAUAGGAAAUUUCAAACAGAUUUUUCAAUUUAGCAUAUAAUCUCUAAAACAGAAAAAACUAUGAUAUCAUUCGAGAGAAAAAUAAUCAUCUGAACAAACUGAAGUAGAUAACAAUUAUCAAGAAUAUAUCAAUAUAUCAGUUAUAUAUAAGGCAGAGUGAUCACAAUUUAUGCUAGUUGAGCACAGGAUGCAAGGAGCCAAAAAGCAUGGGCCAGAAGGCUCUUUGCUGAUGGUAAGGGUUCGAACUAAUUACAAGUUCAAUUAAACCUACUUUUCACUGGACAAAGGGUGCACUUAACAUGAAGGAAACUGAGAUAAAAUUAUCUAAUACAGCCAUCUAUAUUUCACCGAUAUAUUUUUAAAUCUACUAAAACAUAUAGGCUUUUAUACAAUUAAGAAAUAAAGUUAAAUAUUCAUUCCCUAAUAAAGAAUAAAGAUUAAAUCUAUUCCAGAAAUACACAAAAUUCAGCUGAGCUUUAAAAUUUAUUGAUUCUGAAUUUUUUACCUGAUAUGCCUCUGCCUAAUAAGAACACGGGCAUGGUGAAUCGACUUAGCCAUGCCAGUCUUAAACACAAGGGUCUGAAGACGACGCUCCAAGAAGUUCUCCACAGUCAAAGCCAAGACAUAAUCAAGCUUGUUCUGGCUCUCAUCCAAUAACCCAUAUCUAUUCAUCCUGCG